UGACCUCAGAUCAGGCAAGGCUACCCGCUGAAUUUAAGCAUAUUAAUAAGCGGAGGAAAAGAAACUAACAAGGAUUCCCCUAGUAAUGGCGAAUGAAGCGGGAACAGCUCAAAUUUAAAAUCUCCGUUGCUUGCAACGGCGAAUUGUAGUUUCGAGAAGCACUUUCUCGGCGGAUCCGAGGUCGUCCAAGUUGCUUGGAACAGCACGUCGUAGAGGGUGAAAACCCCGUCUGCGGCGACCUCGGCCGUUCACGAUGUGCUUUCGACGAGUCGGGUUGUUUGGGAAUGCAGCCCAAAAUGGGUGGUAAACAAUUAGUUUAAAUACUCGAUUCCGCUUUUUCCUGCAAUAGAUGUAGUCGUUAUCCAAGUUUAAGAUUAUACUCAAAAGUUUGAAUAUCACAUUAAAUCAAGUAAUCUGCUUCGUGUCAUCUCGACAGGUGAUUUGCUAUGAUUAAAAAGAGAUUAAAGAGAUGAAGCAGUGGCAAAACGCAAAGCGCAUUUUACAUUACUGAUGUAAUCCAAAAAAACGGUUUUGAUAAUUAUGUGCCAAUGCUUUGACUUUAUUACCAAUUCCGAUUAGCGGUCGUCAUGUACUAGCUUGUUUGAAAAGUUUUCUAAAAAGUUUUUAUAAAUUUUCUUAUAUGUGCAAUCGUUAUUACCUUUACUUGGAAAAUAAGUAUUAAUUACACUUUUCGAAACGUCUACACAGGGGGAUGAUAAUCUUUCAAAUGGUUUAGAAAAACCAACUAUAAACUGGUCUGUUUAUUGCCAACUGUCAAUUUCACACAAGAUAUGUAACUUCCGCCCUGCAAAGGAAUAAAAUCCAUCAUUCGAUAACUUCGAUUGCUUACAAUUUCGAACGAUCCUUACGGUUGGACAUUAUUUAUUUUAUUCUAUUCCAAAAUAAGGAAUCAGAUUUUUUGAUGAGUUGCUCUUUCUGUUUUCUCUUCUUUUUUUUGCGUUGUGUUUGAGAAACUUUGGGAUUCCUGUGUGCGCUGCCGGUCACGUGGAAGCACCAUGAAAAACA
RNAcentral lists this non-coding RNA (1026 nucleotides) under Nematostella vectensis (starlet sea anemone). RNAcentral's name for it is "Eukaryotic large subunit ribosomal RNA". It matches the Rfam family "Eukaryotic large subunit ribosomal RNA", at positions 1 to 644 of the family's 3401-position model. The record is from Rfam by way of RNAcentral. Lineage: Eukaryota; Metazoa; Cnidaria; Anthozoa; Actiniaria; Edwardsiidae.